GGAUAUUAUCAGGUGAAUUUAUCUCUUCUAGGAAUGGAUCCAUUAUCACAAAUUGCACCCUACAGUACGAAAACACCACCACACCGCUCACUGAGUCCGCGGUGGUGAUCCUAUUGGCGAAUAAUUUAGAAAACGGCACAGAGUUAGGAAACGUCACACUUAUUCGAUCGUCCAUCCGUUCUGGUGGUACCACUUUGAACAAUUUGGAGUCUACAACUACAGGUGUAACUGAAUCACCAACAACUGCUGGGCCAACAACUACAGGUACAACUACGUCACAAAAUACACCUGGACCAACAACUACAGAUGUAACUGAAUCACCAACUACACCUGGACCAACAACUACAGGUGUAACUGAAUCACCAACUACACCUGGACCAACAACUACAGGUAC
This is a long non-coding RNA of Amblyraja radiata (thorny skate), 394 nucleotides long. RefSeq lists it as uncharacterized. The record is from RefSeq and is a predicted model, not a curated record. The transcript is spliced from 2 exons. NCBI's taxonomy places the organism in Eukaryota, Metazoa, Chordata, Chondrichthyes, Rajiformes, Rajidae.